Molecule: microRNA, 21 nt
Filed under: Corchorus olitorius
Lineage: Eukaryota; Viridiplantae; Streptophyta; Magnoliopsida; Malvales; Malvaceae
Description: bta-miR-2284aa
Source: RNAcentral
AAAAAAGUUUGUUUGGAGUUU